This 301-nucleotide ribosomal RNA is filed under the name uncultured bacterium. RNAcentral describes it as "partial 16S ribosomal RNA". It matches the Rfam family "Bacterial small subunit ribosomal RNA", at positions 509 to 807 of the family's 1533-position model. The record is from RNAcentral.
CAGUAGCCACGGUAAUACGUAGGGUGCAAGCGUUAAUCGGAAUUACUGGGCAUAAAGCGUGCGCAGGCGGUUUGUUAAGACAGAUGUGAAAUCCCCGGGCUUAACCUGGGAACUGCGCUUGUGACCGCACAGCUAGAGUAUGGCAGAGGGGGGUGGAAUUCCACGUGUAGCAGUGAAGUGCGUAGAGAUGUGGAGGAACACCGAUGGCGAAGGCAGCCCCCUGGGCCAAUACUGACGCUCAUGCACGGAAGCGUGGGGAGCAAACAGGAUUAGAUACCCCCGUAGUCCCUGUCUCUUAUAC